GAUGAACGCUGGCGGCCUGUAGACACAGAUGAGAGCACAUGCAAGUCGAGCGAUUCUCUUCGGAGAAGAGCGGCGGACGGGUGAGUAACGCGUGGGUAACCUGCCCUGUACACACGGAUAACAUACCGAAAGGUAUGCUAAUACGAGAUAAUAUGCUUUUAUCGCAUGGUAGAAGUAUCAAAGCUCCGGCGGUACAGGAUGGACCCGCGUCUGAUUAGCUAGUUGGUGAGGUAACGGCUCACCAAGGCGACGAUCAGUAGCCGACCUGAGAGGGUGAUCGGCCACAUUGGAACUGAGACACGGUCCAAACUCCUACGGGAGGCAGCAGUGGGGAAUAUUGCACAUUGGGCGAAAGCCUGAUGCAGCAACGCCGCGUGAGCGAUGAAGGCCUUCGGGUCGUAAAGCUCUGUCCUCAAGGAAGAUAAUGACGGUACUUGAGGAGGAAGCCCCGGCUAACUAC
This 460-nucleotide ribosomal RNA is filed under the name uncultured bacterium. RNAcentral describes it as "bacterial SSU rRNA". It matches the Rfam family "Bacterial small subunit ribosomal RNA", at positions 28 to 504 of the family's 1533-position model. The record is from RNAcentral.